RNAcentral lists this ribosomal RNA (768 nucleotides) under uncultured bacterium. RNAcentral's name for it is "bacterial SSU rRNA". It matches the Rfam family "Bacterial small subunit ribosomal RNA", at positions 28 to 776 of the family's 1533-position model. The record is from RNAcentral.
GACGAACGCUGGNGGCGUGCCUAAUACAUGCAAGUCGAGCGAAGUUUUUCUGGUGCUUGCACUAGAAAAACUUAGCGGCGAACGGGUGAGUAACACGUAAAGAACCUGCCUCAUAGACUGGGACAACUAUUGGAAACGAUAGCUAAUACCGGAUAACAGCAUUAACUGCAUGGUUGAUGUUUAAAAGUUGGUUUUGCUAACACUAUGAGAUGGCUUUGCGGUGCAUUAGCUAGUUGGUGGGGUAAAGGCCUACUAAGGCGACGAUGCAUAGCCGACCUGAGAGGGUGAUCGGCCACACUGGGACUGAGACACGGCCCAGACUCCUACGGGAGGCAGCAGUAGGGAAUCUUCCGCAAUGGGCGAAAGCCUGACGGAGCAACGCCGCGUGAGUGAAGAAGGAUUUCGGUUCGUAAAGCUCUGUUGUUAGGGAAGAAUGAUUGUGUAGUAACUAUACACAGUAGAGACGGUACCUAACCAGAAAGCCACGGCUAACUACGUGCCAGCAGCCGCGGUAAUACGUAGGUGGCAAGCGUUGUCCGGAAUUAUUGGGCGUAAAGCGCGCGCAGGUGGUUUAAUAAGUCUGAUGUGAAAGCCCACGGCUCAACCGUGGAGGGUCAUUGGAAACUGUUAAACUUGAGUGCAGGAGAGAAAAGUGGAAUUCCUAGUGUAGCGGUGAAAUGCGUAGAGAUUAGGAGGAACACCAGUGGCGAAGGCGGCUUUUUGGCCUGUAACUGACACUGAGGCGCGAAAGCGUGGGGAGCAAACAGG